CAUUUUUCUCCCUGACGUAUCAAGCUGAUGAAAGUGCACCACAUUUUUAGUCAUUCAACUCUUAUAUGUGAUUAACAGUACCGAAUGUAGUUCUACGGAGUGCAAUUGGAUGGCUACAGAAUGACAUUCUUUUCCUCAGUCCUCUCACGUCUGACUGAUCCAACUGGACAGAAUGUCGGGGACACUGGAGCAGACACUAAACCUGACAACCUGACAUGCAGAGAUGAAGUGGACGAUUUUAUGCUGGUGUCACAAAAUGACGAAAACUCGCAAAGAAUGAAUGCUGCUCAGAUGUUACCGCCAUCAUACCAAGAGGUAACACAAGCAGAUAUCGAUUCCGCAGUAAGGCCCAAUUCAGUUUCCUUGGCUACCAGCUUGGAAGAUGUCAAAACAUCCCCAUUGGACGGGGUCCCGUUUUCUCUAUGGUAUGGCCACACAGCUGCUGUGCAGUCGGCCCUACUUGCCCGCUGCACAGAUUCUGCAUUUGGACAGAGGUGCACACCAGAAGACAUCUUGAACAGAUAUAACUACACGUUUGAUACAGAGCGAUCUGUGUUGCGUGAAUUUGGUGACAUGACGAACGAUUUUUAUCUAGGAACUCCUUAUAUGGCUGAUACCGAGAAUGGAGACCCCCACUCUCAAGCCUUCUCCGAUAUGACCUCAGAUUUUGAACACUCCUCACCACCCUCUGCAGUACACAACAGGUCUUUUCCAGAAGUCGGCUGUUUGGUAGAUUUAAGCUGAGUGUGAUAUUUAUAACUAUACUAGAUAUACAUGUAUUUCUAGGUGUGUUGAGAUUUAAAAUUCUUUUUACAUAGGCGAGUAUUUUGUUGUCGUCUACUUAUAUUAGUAGUAUUCUUUUUGUGUGAAGUAGGCCUUCAUGAAUUUGUAUUAAAAUAUCUUGUUUUUUCUUUCUCUUAGGUUACACUUGAACUGUUGUGUGAAUUCAUUCAUUUUUAAUGUGCAUUUUUUUUUUGUUUG
Long non-coding RNA from Liolophura sinensis, 981 nucleotides. RefSeq lists it as uncharacterized. Lineage: Eukaryota; Metazoa; Mollusca; Polyplacophora; Chitonida; Chitonidae. The record is from RefSeq and is a predicted model, not a curated record. The transcript has 3 exons.